GUUUAUAACCGCAGCUUCUCGUCGUCUCAGAGCCCCGCCCUCUAUCUGACUGUGAGAGACUUGGUGACCCAUCUGAUCAUCCGGGUGGUUGUGGUCCACUUCCUUCUGAUCAUGGGGACCAUCUCCCUCUUCUUCUACUGUCGGGCCAGUGGGGGGCGGAGCCGACUGAAGGCACGGAGGACACCAUGAGAUACACGUCCACGGACACAUCCACGCCAACGUCCAUGCCAACGUCCACAUCCACGUCCGUAUCCCCUGGAGUCUCUGUGCUUUAUCUCCUCACAGGUUUUCCCUGGAUCCUCUCUGGACCUCCUGCUGUGCUCCUGCCUCUCUCCUCCUUCAUCAUCAUCACUCACUUUUCCAUAUAGUUAUGAGAGUGUUUAUUCUAUACUUCCAUAGAUGGUAGAGGUUUAUAGUAUUUGUACUAACUGUUGUAAUAGUAGUAUAUCCACUGGUAGUACUUGUAUUUGUAAUAGUAGUAUAUCCACUGUUAGUACUAGUAUUUGUAG
Long non-coding RNA from Sphaeramia orbicularis (orbiculate cardinalfish), 509 nucleotides. RefSeq lists it as uncharacterized. The record is from RefSeq and is a predicted model, not a curated record. The transcript has 3 exons. Lineage: Eukaryota; Metazoa; Chordata; Actinopteri; Kurtiformes; Apogonidae.